GGUAUGUGGCUUAGUGGUAGAGCACUUGCCUUGCAUGCAUGUAGCCCUGGGUUCCAUUCCUCAGCACCA
This 69-nucleotide transfer RNA is filed under the name Dipodomys ordii (Ord's kangaroo rat). It matches the Rfam family "tRNA". From Rfam's summary of the family: Transfer RNA (tRNA) molecules are approximately 80 nucleotides in length. Lineage: Eukaryota; Metazoa; Chordata; Mammalia; Rodentia; Heteromyidae. The record is from Rfam by way of RNAcentral.